GGAAUUUUAGUAAAACAAUUACAUAGCCUUGUCAAAGCUAAGCUACAGGUUUAAAUCCCGUAAAUUUCU
Loxodonta africana (African savanna elephant) is the source of this 69-nucleotide non-coding RNA. The record is from Ensembl. NCBI's taxonomy places the organism in Eukaryota, Metazoa, Chordata, Mammalia, Proboscidea, Elephantidae.